Molecule: long non-coding RNA, 830 nt
Filed under: Capsicum annuum
Lineage: Eukaryota; Viridiplantae; Streptophyta; Magnoliopsida; Solanales; Solanaceae
Description: long non-coding RNA (CANN_LNC008902)
Source: RNAcentral
CAAGAGAUACAUAUUUUUGUUUAUCGGAACGUUUGGCUUUAAAUUGAAGCAAUGAUGAAUUGUACAAUUUGACAGACUAUAAUCCAAUAAACUUAAAAUGAGUAAUUUGACAACUUAAAACUAAUAAUUUGACCCACAAACUUAAAACUUAAAAUUCUAAGAAAAGGAACUUAAAAUUUAGAUUAUAAACGAGUUGACAAAUAAAUCAUGAGUACAUCUCUUGAUUAUAAUCUGACUUUUUAAUCUGUAUUCAUGAAAGAUGAGUUGCAUACAUUAUGAAAUCCGACAGUGAAACAACUGGUGAGGAAAAAUCUUUAUCGACUUUUCUUGAAAUUGCGAUUGAGAUAGACAUUGGUAGAUCUCCGACUACAAUCAUCAAUCUUGUAUUCUUCGUACUUGACAUCAGAUAGCCAAACACCGGAAUGUACUAAUAAGACGCGGUAUUCAUUAUUACGAAUCGUCGAAAAAAGAAGAAGAACUACAACAAAUAACAGAGAAGAAGUGAUAACAAAUUGAGAUUGACAUUGGUACAUCUCCAACUACAACCAUCAAUCUUGUAUUCUUUGUGCUUGACAUCAGACAACCAAACACCGAAAUGUACUAAUAAGAUGCGACGUUCAUUAGUACUAAUUAUCGAAAAAAAAGAAGAACAACAAAUAACAGAGAAGAAGGGAUAAUGAAUUCUUUUUCAAGAAUAAUGAAUUUUCUUUCUUUUGAAUGAACCCAUUAAAACUAUUUAUGACUUUCUGAGGAUUUUUGAACUAAUGAAGAGUGAUUUACUCCUCAAUUAUAAGAUUUAUGUUAUUUGCCCUUUUUAAUGCAUAUUAGCU